RNAcentral lists this ribosomal RNA (650 nucleotides) under uncultured bacterium. RNAcentral describes it as "bacterial SSU rRNA". The stretch from base 1 to 547 matches the Rfam family "Bacterial small subunit ribosomal RNA", at positions 338 to 873 of the family's 1533-position model. The record is from RNAcentral.
CCUACGGGAGGCAGCAGUAAGGAAUAUUGGUCAAUGGGCGGAAGCCUGAACCAGCCAUGCCGCGUGCAGGAAGACGGCCCUACGGGUUGUAAACUGCUUUUAUACGGGAAUAAACCUCGAUACGUGUAUCGAGCUGAAUGUACUGUAAGAAUAAGGAUCGGCUAACUCCGUGCCAGCAGCCGCGGUAAUACGGAGGAUCCAAGCGUUAUCCGGAUUUAUUGGGUUUAAAGGGUGCGUAGGUGGCCUGUUAAGUCAGGGGUGAAAGACGGUAGCUUAACUAUCGCAGUGCCCUUGAUACUGAUGGGCUUGAAUAAACUAGAGGUAGGCGGAAUGUGACAAGUAGCGGUGAAAUGCAUAGAUAUGUCACAGAACACCAAUUUGCGAAGGCAGCUUACUAUGGUUUUAUUGACACUGAGGCACGAAAGCGUGGGGAUCAAACAGGAUUAGAUACCCCUGGUAGUCCCACGACCUAACCGACUAGAUACUACGUAUAGUUGGUCGAUAUACGUACGUAGACGUCGUAGACGAAGACGUUAAGUUAGUUACCGUACCGUACGGGUAGGUACGGACCGCCGAACGGUAGGUAACGUUAACGAAAGUAAAGUUAGUUAGGCGUUGAGACGNGCGACGGACGACGACGAGGGAGGAGG